Long non-coding RNA from Bombyx mori (domestic silkworm), 362 nucleotides. RefSeq lists it as uncharacterized. The record is from RefSeq and is a predicted model, not a curated record. NCBI's taxonomy places the organism in Eukaryota, Metazoa, Arthropoda, Insecta, Lepidoptera, Bombycidae. The transcript has 2 exons.
AUGCAAUUUAUGAACUUUAUGGACUGUUUUAUUGCUUUAAUCCUUAUUAAUGUUAUUUUAGUUUUCGCUAUCGAUUGCUUACAGCUCGACCGAUCUUAAUCGAAUUUAUUUAUAUUUAUAUGAAUAUUAUAUUAUUAUACGAUUCAUUUUUAAUCGAGUUUUGCGUAUGGAAUCGCAACAUUUAGAAACAAACAGGAUCUUUCAAGGCAAUUGUAGUCAACUUCAAAAUGUCCGAUUACCUUGAUAACUUGUACAUGUAUCAAGAACUGAUGACGCUACAAUAAUCUUAUUAAUUUCACCGAAUAUCCUGACCCGGAUCAUCAAGGCAUAAGUAAAAUUAAAAUUUUUAAUUAGACAUGUUA